RNAcentral lists this long non-coding RNA (333 nucleotides) under Gossypium barbadense (sea-island cotton). RNAcentral's name for it is "long non-coding RNA (GBAR_LNC018569)". The record is from RNAcentral. Lineage: Eukaryota; Viridiplantae; Streptophyta; Magnoliopsida; Malvales; Malvaceae.
CCCGCUCAACUUGAUCUGAGCUUAAAUCUAAACAAAUUUAGCCCAAAAAAUCCGAGUCCGAUAAUGCCUAAGCCUAAGAUAAUCUAAACUCUAAGAGAUUUAAGCUCGAGAUAAUCCGAAUCUAAGAAAAUUUGAAUUCGAAGUAAAUUCGAUCUUAACUCGUGCCCUACUUUGGGGGAUGGCUUGCACUGCACUCCUCUGCCUCUGCCUCGGUUCCAGCAGCAGUGAAUUUCCAGAAAGUGACAACAGAAUUUGGUUCCUGUGAGAAAAGGAAGGGCAAUCAAAUAUAAGCUAAGAAAUGUUUAAAGCUAAUUAUAGAUACAUUCUACCUGC